Molecule: small nucleolar RNA, 107 nt
Filed under: Prunus dulcis (almond)
Lineage: Eukaryota; Viridiplantae; Streptophyta; Magnoliopsida; Rosales; Rosaceae
Description: sRNA ncRNA
Source: RNAcentral
AUAUUGGCAUGUGGACACUCUAUGUACAUCUCUGUAUGUCUCUCCCAUGCUUCAUGAAACUCUUCAUUAAGCUUCUGUGUGAAUGUCAAAAUCUUCCUCUUGUAAUU